Nicotiana tabacum (common tobacco) is the source of this 682-nucleotide long non-coding RNA. RefSeq lists it as uncharacterized. NCBI's taxonomy places the organism in Eukaryota, Viridiplantae, Streptophyta, Magnoliopsida, Solanales, Solanaceae. The record is from RefSeq and is a predicted model, not a curated record.
CUUUCUUUUCCUUCAAGAUCUACCACGUCUCUUAAAUUCUGAAACGGUCCAUUAAUUCAUCCGUAACUGUUCACUCAUUCUCUUUAACUUGUCACAUCUCCUUGUAUUCUAACCAACUCGUACCUCUACAUGUGCUGAUGAAUUUCGACGGAUUCUAUUGUUCUUUCUAUUCUAUUCUAUAUUGUAUUCUUUUUUCUUCCUUCUUUCUCUAGCUCUUUCUCUCUUCCUGAUUUUGAAAUUUCGUUGUCCAAUAGGACAUAUAUACACUAAUGUGAAUUUGCUACCAAGUCAAGGUCUUGAUAACACUAAAUGAGUUCCUGCUGGGAUUUUACAGAAAGAACGUGGAGUCAGAGCAUGAGAUUUUCAAUUAAGCUUUUACAUAAGGCGACUGGGCAUAUUCUAAGAUGGGAGAGGCGCGUGUUUUUUAUGCUCCAUAUGGAGAUUUUCUGAAGCCAACAAUCUAUGAGGUUGCCGAGCUAUCGACUAUAUGAAUGAAUGUAACUUUGUUGAAUGGGGCAAGUAGGGUCCUUCCUCAAGACAACCUUUCUUCAUUAAACUGAUUCCCUUCUUUUUGUUUUUUCUUGCGUGAUAAAAAUGUAUAAACAUUUUCCUUUACUUUUCGAGCAUCUUAUGUUAUAUACCUUCAAUUUGGUAUUAGUUUCUUAAAAUAUCUCCUUUAUUA